UCAUUAAUACAAACACUUGACUUACAAUAAACUCGGACCAAAUUUACAUCUAAUUCAUCCAAUAUUCUCACAUAAUAAGAAUUAUAUAUGCUCAAAACAACUUUUAUAUGACCCCACUUUGUCCCAACAGAACUCCCACUCAAAACAAUACCAUGGAGAUUAAGAAAACUACAAUAUAAUGUCACUUAAAUACAAAUUUCCAUUAUAUAAAUUUCUCAUCAACUUAUACAAACACUUGUUUUACAUGCCCGGUUUACCCCCUAGGACUUAUAUACACCUCUUGUUAUGCCUAUUACUGAUAGCACAAGAUCAUAGGUCCAAAAUUAUUCAUAUUUAUAGAAAGCAAACAACAUGAAGCAUGAAUCCAAAAAAGAGAUAUUCAAUUCAAAAUACUCGAGAUAGGAUGGUCUGAUUAGAAGAAAACGUGGGAACAAAAUAAGCGGCACGCCAAUGCCAGAAUGCGCUCUAUGAUACAUCUUAAUUUAGCAUAGUCAUAAGCAAAUUUAGGCAUAAUGAGGGCUUUUAAAAAUGAGGUUGUGGUGAUGCUAGGAGGAUUUUAACUUGCUAUUGUACUAAAGAAAAUCUCAAAAAAUAUCAAAUAAAAUGAUUCAAAAGACACUAGUUCAGACAAUGCCGAACUGGUGUAGCAUGAUCGAUGCAUGUGAGAAAAUCAACAUGGCAUGAGAUGGGAAAGGAAAUUCAACUUAAAGAGACCAAGAUGGGUGAAUUAUCUUCUGAUAUGAUGGAUUUACAGCAAGAAUGAAAUUUGGAGAAGAUGGUUUCCUUGAUUCUAUAGGCUCAUGAAGUAACUAUGUGCAAUGGGGGAUGACACCAUGAUCAUCAAACUGUUUUUUUGUGUGUGGGAGGGGUUGCCCCUAUUUCUUCUCUUCUCUCUCUAUCUCUCUCUCUCUUCAACUCUCUAAUGAACCAAAGGCGAGGA
This 940-nucleotide long non-coding RNA is filed under the name Amborella trichopoda. RNAcentral describes it as "long non-coding RNA (ATRI_LNC002475)". Lineage: Eukaryota; Viridiplantae; Streptophyta; Magnoliopsida; Amborellales; Amborellaceae. The record is from RNAcentral.